GUGGCCGGCGCAUCCCUCCUUCCACCAGUGCCUGGUGCACGCCCGCCACCUCGCUUUGCAGUCGAGACACCGUCUUGGUCAGCUCGCGUCUGGGACUCACUCCGUCUGCCCUCCCACAAGCCUGCCUAAGUGAUGCACUCUUUCUGGCCUUUCGGCUCCCGCUGCGACGUGUGUCUUUUUCUAAGCACUUCGCGCCUGGUAGAGACGGUUUCUCUUCCUCCCCGAUGGAAAGCUUCCCGCCUGCGCCUGAUCUACUCGGCCCCCUCCCUCCAAGUCAGGACUGUGACAGUGAUACUUGAAAAGAAGAGGGGAGAAGAAAGCCCUUUUUAAUAGAAGAAUGCCAGCUAAGAAAUGGAGAAGGAAUGAUGGCAGUGGAAAAACACCAUGUUGGAGCCACCACUGUCACAACCGACUCAGGGACCCCUGGUACCUUUACAAUGGAGAGGUUUGCCAGCCCAGUGGGUCCCACCAGUGGGCCAAACUGACAUUCUGUACCUUCCACUGGGAUGCGAUGGAAACACAUCCUCAGAAUUUCUUGGCCAAAUUCCCUUUGGGACUCCCAGACUGGCUUGGAACAGGUGGCGAAGCCGACUGAGUCUGCUGGUGACUUGGGAGUUUGCUAAACUGGAGGUACCUGUGACCCAAACCAUGUGUAGUGAAGUCUCCCAGACGCUCCGGCUGCGGCCGUGGAAGGUACUGAGCUGCGUCUCCAUGGCCAGGGACUCUCCCAGCAGGAAGAGGAGGAACCACAGAGGUCGACACAGUCACACAGCCGGGAGCCUAAAGGCACCUCUGCGUCCUCUGUCUUAGCCCCUCGCCCAGCCCAUCCUUCGCCUUGCCCUCUAAAGCACCAAACCUGUGGGAGUUCCCGCCUCGUCACAAUCCCCCAGUGGCUCCCAUCGCUGCUGAAGGCUCUGUGAGGCCCGGCCCUGCCUACUUUGCACUUGGGCGUUAGCGGCACCGAAUGCCUUGCCGUCUCGUCUCUCCGAUACUCUCCACUCUCCCUCCCUGGGCUGUCAGAUGCGCUGUCCUGCUUCCCGGAGCCCUGCCCGCCCUACUUUUCCCACGGUUAACAGGUACCAGCCUCGCUCUUCAUGAAAAUCCCCAGCGCCAGGCACACUUGAUCGAUCGAGCGCUGGCUCACAGCGUCACAGGAAAUAUUUGUGGAACGACAGAAAAUAUCUGGGUUCACAAGGGUUCCCCCAAAGAACGUGCAGGUUGGGGCAGGAGUCUCUCCCGGAGAGUAGGGGCUGCGUGUGGAACUCGGGCUUUGGAGGCAGAGACCUGGUCUCUGUCCUGACUCUGCUGUUUCCUGCUCCCUGGACAAAAGAGCCACUUCUGUCCCCGGUGUCUCCCCUAGAAAAUCGAGGUGCAAUACCUCCCUUUCAGGGCCACUCCGGUUACCUAACAGGAGCAUUCCCCACGUGGGAAUCAGGCUCAGGGCCUGGCCUGAAACAAGGGAUCCAUAAAUGACGGCUGUCAGUGAUUUUGGUCCCCGUACCCGGGACUUCGGCGCCAGCCAGUAGCCAAGGCAGAGGAAGGGCAUGGCGAGGAAGAUGAGCAAGGCCACGAAGAGCUUCCAGACGAUGGUGCUCCCGCGCCAGCCGGCCAGGUUCCCGCACCAGAUGGAGGACAGGACUUGCUGGCAGAUGGGGUGCGCUACAAACUGAGCAGAGUGGGAGUGAGCAGACGGGUGGCCGCCAGCCGGGGGCGGGGAGGAGGGCAGGCAGGUGGGGGCAGAGCCCCGGCUCUCCGGCCGUGGAGACUGCAGGUGUUUCUUUGCUCCCCAGGCCAGGCGGCUCAGAAGAGGGGCCACCCCCUUGCUGUGCGACCUUGGUCAGGCCCCAUCCCUCUUGGGGCCUUGGGUUCCUGGUCUGUGACGAGACACUCAACUCCCAGAUGCUCCUGGGCUCUUGGAGGCUACGUGCGUGUCUCUAAGUCAGGCAGUGAGCCCUGAUGGGAACUCCAAGACAUCACUUGAAACGUCAGCCCUUGAGGGAGCUGGCCUGCUCUUGCUGGACAGAGGGAGACAUGGAUGUCUGACAACAGGAGGUGAUCAGACCACAGCUCUGCGCAGGCCGCAGGCAGAGCUGAGCGUGAGACCCAGACGUCUGGUCUGAAGGGGGGUCGGGGCGGGGAGUAAUGGGCCCUCCUAGAGCUGGGAAGAGAUUGGGGCCUUAGACUCAGCCACCCUCGAUGUCCUAGCCCGCCCCAAGCUUCGCCAAAGCGUUCCUUUACCAUGGCUCCCCAGCCACCAACCCGCUGUCCCUGCCCCCCCCGCCGCCCCCCCCACCCCCUGCUCAGGACCACGCAGGCUGGGGCCCCAUGGGGGCCCCACAGGAUCAAGGGCCUAGACGGGAGGCUGCUCCUCAUCGAGAUCCAAGCAGGUCCUGAGGCAGGGAGGGGACUUGCUCAGGCCUGGGCUGCGGGACACCUGGGGGGUCGGGGCAAGGGCUUG
This is a long non-coding RNA of Phacochoerus africanus (Common warthog), 2458 nucleotides long. RefSeq lists it as uncharacterized. NCBI's taxonomy places the organism in Eukaryota, Metazoa, Chordata, Mammalia, Artiodactyla, Suidae. The transcript has 8 exons. The record is from RefSeq and is a predicted model, not a curated record.